CGCGGCCUAUCAGCUUGUUGGUGAGGUAGUGGCUCACCAAGGCGACGACGGGUAGCCGGCCUGAGAGGGCGACCGGCCACACUGGGACUGAGACACGGCCCAGACUCCUACGGGAGGCAGCAGUGGGGAAUAUUGCACAAUGGGCGCAAGCCUGAUGCAGCGACGCCGCGUGGGGGAUGAAGGCCUUCGGGUUGUAAACUCCUUUCAGCAGGGAAGAAGCGAAAGUGACGGUACCUGCAGAAGAAGCGCCGGCUAACUACGUGCCAGCAGCCGCGGUAAUACGUAGGGCGCAAGCGUUGUCCGGAUUUAUUGGGCGUAAAGAGCUCGUAGGUGGUUUGUCGCGUCUGCUGUGAAAACCCGAGGCUCAACCUCGGGCCUGCAGUGGGUACGGGCAGACUAGAGUGCGGUAGGGGAGACUGGAAUUCCUGGUGUAGCGGUGGAAUGCGCAGAUAUCAGGAGGAACACCAAUGGCGAAGGCAGGUCUCUGGGCCGCAACUGACACUGAGGAGCGAAAGCAUGGGGAGCGAACAGGAUUAGAUACCCUGGUAGUCCAUGCCGUAAACGUUGGGCACUAGGUGUGGGGCUCAUUCCACGAGUUCCGUGCCGCAGCUAACGCAUUAAGUGCCCCGCCUGGGGAGUACGG
This 643-nucleotide ribosomal RNA is filed under the name uncultured Actinomycetes bacterium. RNAcentral's name for it is "bacterial SSU rRNA". It matches the Rfam family "Bacterial small subunit ribosomal RNA", at positions 232 to 885 of the family's 1533-position model. The record is from RNAcentral. Lineage: Bacteria; Bacillati; Actinomycetota; Actinomycetes.